Molecule: long non-coding RNA, 1113 nt
Filed under: Elaeis guineensis (African oil palm)
Lineage: Eukaryota; Viridiplantae; Streptophyta; Magnoliopsida; Arecales; Arecaceae
Description: long non-coding RNA (EGUI_LNC004143)
Source: RNAcentral
CUUUGAAAUAUCUCUGAACUCAAAAAUCAUCUGCACCAUCUCAACCACCUCUCCAAUGAUUGAAAAAUGAGGAGGAAAUCCAUCCGACCCCAAAGCUUUUCCUCCCUGAGGGAUCAGAGGGUCUCCCGCACCUCUUUAACAGAGACUAGAUGAGUCAGGGUCUCAUUCUCCACAUCAGAGAUGCUGCACACAGGAUGGGAUCCCUAGAGGGGGCAUCCCCAUCCAAAAGAGUAGUCCAACACUAUCUGAAGAACUAUAGAAUUUGAUCCUUAAUCUCAUCACUGUCCUCCACUACUCUAUUAUAACUUUUCAGCUGCCUAAUGCAAUUGGUAGAUCUCUGGAUCAUCGUCGAUUGAUGGAAGAAUCUUAUGUUCCGAUCACUCUUCCUGAUCCACUGCAUCCUAGACUUUUGCCUCCAUAGCAUCUUCUCCUAUCUCAACAAAGAGUGGUGCAUGAAGAGCUUAUGUUGAAGCUCUCUCAUAUCAGGCUCCUAAAGGUCCUCUCCUGAUCCUCCCUCCUCUAGAGCUUCGUAAUGUCCACCUCCAUCUCCUGGAUCCAUUUAAAGAUAUCACCAACCUCAAGAUAAUUCAUCAGAUGAGCCUACGCCUCGCCAACUCAAGCCGCCUAAUCACUUGAUAUCUCACAUUACCACAGACCAGCAUCCUCCAAACUUCUCUAAUCAGAUCCCACGAUCUUGGAUAGAAUGUCUAGAACUUCUUAAAUCUGAAUAGAGCCUUGGACAAGUGUGGGCUAACAGUGGUGAUGAGAAGCAGGAAAUGGUCCGAAGCAAUCCUAAGAAGGUGCUGCAUUUGGUGUCCAAGAAAAUACUGGAACCAGUCAGUAGUGGUAAGUGUCCAAUCAAUCCUCUUCUAAAUCCUGACUCCUAGCCAGUUAUUACACUAGGUGAACUUGAGUCUAGUGUAGCCAAGGUCAAUCGAGCUCAAGUUACCAAUGAACUUCUUGAACUUUCUAGAGUCAAUACUAUCAGCAUAUUAUGUAUCAUCCAUCUUCUCGUGGAAUCCUACAAUGGAGUUGAAAUCUUCGACGAUAAGAGAAGGCAAGUCCUGCUCCACCAUCCUGGAGUUAUUGGAUCAGAGAACCUUCCGCUUCUUG